This 433-nucleotide ribosomal RNA is filed under the name uncultured bacterium. Its description in RNAcentral is "partial 16S ribosomal RNA". It matches the Rfam family "Bacterial small subunit ribosomal RNA", at positions 29 to 507 of the family's 1533-position model. The record is from RNAcentral.
AACGAACGCUGGCGGUAUGCCUAACACAUGCAAGUCGAACGAGACCUUAGGGUCUAGUGGCGCACGGGUGCGUAACGCGUGGGAACCUGCCCUUAGGUUCGGAAUUACUCCCCGAAAGGGGUGCUAAUACCGGAUAAUUUAUUCGGAUAAAAGAUUUAUCGCCUUUGUGUGGGCCCGCGUUGGAUUAGCUAGUUGGUAGCGUAAAAGCCUACGACGGAGACGCUCCAUAGCUGGUAUGAGAGGAUGAUCAGCCACACUGGGACGAAGACACGGCGCAGACUCCUACGGGAUGCAGCCGUGGGGAAUAUUGGACAAUGGGCUAAAUCCUGAUCCAGCAAGGCCUCUUGAGUCAUGAAGGCCUUAGAGUAGUAAAGCUCGUUUACCCGGGAUUAUAAUGACAGUACCGAGAGAAUAAGCACCGGCUAACUCCGUG